CAGCACAUUGAGUGUGCAAUAAGGGGAGAAAAUACUCUUGACAAGAUGUAUACGAACAUUAGACGGGCAUAUGAGGCGCACCUCGGUGGUUGAGAUCAUGUGUCCCUGCUUCUGACACCAGUGUACACACCCCUCAGUAAACAAGGCCAGCUACAAACAUGGAUGGUUACGGUGUGGCCUGAGGGAGCCUCUCAGCAGUUUCAGGACUGUUUCUAGGAGACCGAUUGGAAUAUGUUCGACCAUCAAGAUCUAGAAACUUCUACAUCAACGGUCUUAGAUUCGGCACAGGAAACGCACCAGGGAAAGGUAUGUUAAGUUGUAUCCGAAUAGGAAGCCCUGGAUGACGGGAGAAGUUAGGAGAUUCUUGAAGGCCAGAAACUCUGCUUUUAGAACUGGGGACUGGGUACCAUAUGGUAUAGAAAGAGCGAACUUGAAGAGGGGUAUCAGGAAAGCAAAGGCUACUUGCAUGGCAAUUUGCAAGUAGAAAGCCAUGGUGUUUCUGGGAGCAGCUGGGGCCUCCGGAAAAAACAAAAUGGCAUUCCCGCCUUUUUCAGAAACACGCCUUCUCCUGACCCUGCCGCCUCCGUGGGCUCCUCCUGGGCCUGCCUGGCAUGGGGGGGGGGGAGCCAGCACCCCCCAAACAAUGGGGGGAAAGAGGAACAGGAAGAGAAGGAAGGAGAAAUGAAGGAGAAGCUGGGAGGGGAGCAGCCAUGAGGGAAACUCAGGGGGAAAACUCCCUCAUGAAACAGGGCGAAGGAGAGGAGGAGGCCCAGGGGAAUCUGAAAUGUGAUUGGCCAGCUACCCAAUGGAGAGGCCUCUGAUUGGUCCAGCCCUGCUCUGGGGUGGGAAAUGGGUCUCCUGCCUCCAUGUGGUUCUGGGAGCCCAGGAGAAACUGGUUUUCUGGCAGGAAACACGGGGAAAGGAUGGCAGGGGUCCCUCUUGCUCUGAACUGGGAAGAGUCCCAGAGGGAGGGCCCGCCCCCCUGAGCACCAUGCGCCCCCCUCCUGCCCCCCCCCGGGUCGCGUGUGCGUUUCCUUCCUCGCCUGGGACUCUUCCUCCUCCCGGCUGGGAAGCCCCCCUCCCUCCCUCCCCCCCGCUGAGCUGGAGGGUGUUCCUUGGGGGGUGUCUUGAGGGAGCCAUUUCUGAGCCCAAGGCACCUCCCGCCACUAGGCAGCCUUCGCCUCUUCUCCCUCCCAGCCUUUCCUUGGGAUCCAGGAGCCUCGAUGUUGGGGGAGGGGGAGAGCCCAGCUAACCCCCCCAUGGACCCCCCCCCGUCUCCCUUGCAGUUAGUCUGGUUGGAUGUGGGCUCCUUGGGGCAGAGGGAGGGAAGGGGGGCAGCCCCUAGAGCGCAGGCGCAGAAGCAGGAAAACUGAAGGCAGGGAGAGGGAGGGGAGGACUCGGCUUGUCAAGGGUUAAAAGGAGCAGAGCGGGAUUCCUAGAGAGGGCAGGAAGUGAAGGGGGAGUGAAGGUCCUCCAGGGCUAAAUCCCCCCUCCCCCUCCCUUCCUGCUUUCUUCUCUCUCCUUUGCAAAAGCCCCUCCUGGACUCGGGUGAGUCUCCUCUCUCCUCCCCCUGAGGGUGCAAUGGGGAGAAGGGGGUCCCAGGGGGGCAGGGAGGGGGCAUGGGGGUCCCUGCUCAGAUCAUGCCUGGGGGGGGGAGACCCCCAAGUCGGGGAGCAGAGGGUCCUCCCUUGUCCUCUCUGCCAAGCCAGGGAGGGGCCAGUUCGCAGGAAAUAUGCAGCUCUGCUCUUCCUUGGGAUCCAGAUGCUGCCUUCCUUUUGGGGGGAGGGGGCUUUGGGUCAAGGAAAUAAACCCCCUUCAGAUGGAGGGAAAAGUCACAUUUAAGAACAGAGGCUGCAGCCAGACGGGAACAUUCCCACGUGGGGGGAGCACAGGGAGAAGAAAAGCCCGUCUGCAUCUGCAGCACCACUGCAUCUCCAGACCACUUCCUGUGUCCCAGAUGCAACAAUAUUAUAUUAUACAACAUAAUAUUACUACUAAUAAUAAUAAUAAUAAUUUAUUUGUACCCCGCCCAUCUGGCCGGGUUUCCCCAGCCACUCUGGGCGGCUUCCACAAAAACGAAAAAUACACUAUUAUGUCAUACAUUUAAAACUUCCCUGAGCAGGGCUGCCUUAAGAUGUCUUCUGAAUGUCAGGUAGUUGUUUAUGUCUCUCCCCUGUCGCUCUCCACACCCAGGGCUGGCGCUGUGACCUUCCAACAACUGGAUCUCACUCCCAAAGACACACUCUUCCAUGGUCUCCCAAGACAGAUGACUGCCAACCAGCCAACCAUUCCCUCCCCUCACAAUGCACAAUUCCCUCCCCUCCCCCUCCUGGUGCCCCUGGAAGUUGGCUUGAGGGCAUUGGGAGGGUCCAACCCACCAGAUGAAGGGAGAGGAGGUCCUUCCAUCUGGAAAAUGGGAAUGCUUGCAAAAAUUUACUUGAAGAUGAGUGCUGUGUAGAUAAUAAAAUAUUAUUUUGUGGAAUUCCCCCAUUUACACAAAGAUUAAAACCCAUCAUUUAAAUACACAACAAAAUUGUUACAGACAAGAACAGAGCAAUGUGUAGAAGAUCUGGCCAUGAUCUUCGUUUUUUUGAUGCUGAGCUUCAGACCAUAUUUUGCGCUCUCCUCUUUCACCCUCAUUAAAAGGUUCUUUAAUUCCUCCUCACUUUCUGCCAUCAAGGUUGUGUCAUCUGCAUAUCUGAGGUUGUUGAUAUUUCUUCCGGCAAUCUUAAUUCCGGCUAGGGAUUCAUCCAGCCCAGCCUUUCGCAUGAUGAAUUCUGCGUAUAAGUUAACUAAGCAGGGAGACAAUAUACAGCCUUGUCGUAUUCCUUUCCCAAAUUUGAAAGCUAUUGCCACAGCAUCCUCCAUGGAUCUCUUUGCCUUGUACGCCAAAGGCUACUUGCAUGGCAAUUAAAGAAAAAAUAAGAAGAGAGAGUAAUAGAGAAAUGAAAAAUAAUUGAAGAUC
Molecule: long non-coding RNA, 2965 nt
Filed under: Podarcis lilfordi (Lilford's wall lizard)
Lineage: Eukaryota; Metazoa; Chordata; Lepidosauria; Squamata; Lacertidae
Source: RNAcentral